UUAAACUAGGGAUUAGAUACCCUAUUAUUAAAAUUUAAAUUAAUAAUACUAAAAUAGUAGAUAAUUAUUUAUUGAAACUUAAAUAAUUUGGCGGUAUUUUAGUUCAUUUAGAGGAAUCUGUUUAAUAAUUGAUAAUCCACGAAUAAAUUUACUUAAUUUUUUAUUUUGUAUAUCGUUGUUAAAAAAAUAUUUUUCAAUAAUAAUAAUAUUUAAAAAUUUUAAUUAAAAAUUAAAUCAGAUCAAGAUGCAGAUUAUAAUUAAGAAUAUAAUGGAUUACAAUAAAUUUAUUUAAAUGAAUAUUAAAUUGUAAAAUUUAAUUGAAGGUGGAUUUAAAUGUAA
This 339-nucleotide ribosomal RNA is filed under the name Spodoptera dolichos. Its description in RNAcentral is "partial 12S ribosomal RNA". The record is from RNAcentral. Lineage: Eukaryota; Metazoa; Arthropoda; Insecta; Lepidoptera; Noctuidae.